This 253-nucleotide ribosomal RNA is filed under the name uncultured bacterium. RNAcentral's name for it is "partial 16S ribosomal RNA". It matches the Rfam family "Bacterial small subunit ribosomal RNA", at positions 524 to 776 of the family's 1533-position model. The record is from RNAcentral.
UACUUAGGGUGCAAGCGUUGUCCGGAAUUAUUGGGCGUAAAGAGCUCGUAGGCGGUCUGUUGCGUCGGCUGUGAAAACCCGGGGCUCAACUCCGGGCCUGCAGCCGAUACGGGCAGACUAGAGUUCGGCAGGGGAGACUGGAAUUCCUGGUGUAGCGGUGAAAUGCGCAGAUAUCAGGAGGAACACCGGUGGCGAAGGCGGGUCUCUGGGCCGAUACUGACGCUGAGGAGCGAAAGCGUGGGGAGCGAACAGG